AGUGAACGCUGGCGGUAGGCCUAACACAUGCAAGUCGAACGGCAGCACAGUAAGAGCUUGCUCUUACGGGUGGCGAGUGGCGGACGGGUGAGGAAUACAUCGGAAUCUACUUUUUCGUGGGGGAUAACGUAGGGAAACUUACGCUAAUACCGCAUACGACCUACGGGUGAAAGCAUGGGAUCUUCGGGCCUUGCGCGAUUGAAUGAGCCGAUGUUGGGUUAGCUAGUUGGCGGGGUAAAGGCCCACCAAGGCGACGAUCCGUAGCUGGUGUGAGAGGAUGAUCAGCCACACUGGAACUGAGACACGGUCCAGACUCCUACGGGAGGCAGCAGAGGGGAAUAUUAGACAAUAGGCGCAAGCCUGAUCCAGCCAGACCGCGUGGGUGAAGAAGGCCUUCGGGUUGUGAAGCCCUUUUGUUGGGAAAGAAAAGCAGCAGGUUAAUACCCCGCUGUUCUGACGGUACCCAAAGAAUAAGCACCGGCUAACUUCGUG
Molecule: ribosomal RNA, 492 nt
Filed under: uncultured bacterium
Lineage: Bacteria
Description: partial 16S ribosomal RNA
Rfam family: Bacterial small subunit ribosomal RNA
Source: RNAcentral